UCUUAUUAAAAGUAUAGCCCUCACUACAAAUGGAGUCGAGGGUCUUUUUUUUUUGGCCAAGGGACCAAGUCAGGGCAGGUCUGACAAAUUCCAGCAUUAGACUGGCGUUCAAGACUGGACAUCCUGCACUGGAUAAGCAUCAUGUAUGAGUCCAGCCAACAAACUACAAUGCGUAGUUGCUUAGCACAAUGUGUGAACAGACACACCUUUGAUGAAGCAUUUGAUAAAGCGGCCUGCUCCAGGCACAGCAAGCCACCAGCUUCCGGCAUCACGGACAGUCAAGACUCCAGCAUUUACCAGCUGCCUGAAGAAAAGGCAGAAAGGGAAAAAUUAAAUGUCCGUUGUGAUUUAUUCCAUGACCAACAAUGUAUAGCUGAUUUGUAGACUAAUGUUUUCUGCCUUUUCAGACAGGCAAAGUCAAUGGGGAAGCCAGAUUAACUUAACAACCGUGUUACUAACUUAACAAUGCAGCAAUUCGCUUAACAACUGUGGCCCGGAAGCUUAUAAAAUGGGGGGAAAACUGAACGUCUAUCUUGCGUAGCAACUGAAAAUUUGGGCUUAACUGUGGUCAUAAGUCGAGGACUACCUGUUCAGAAGACGGCUAUCCUUGUAUGAAUUGUCAAAGAACAUCCCAAGGUAUCUAAUUAGCCACUGUGGGAAACAGGACCAUAAAAUGAGAGAAGACUAUAACUUAAUCCUGUGAGAUUUAAGUUCUCCCAAAGGUUGCCUUUUGUAACAUGAACAUGCAUUCUCAGAAAGCAGAGAGACUUAUUUGCCAUGGUAGCGCAGUGGUAAUAGUGGGAGCACCUACCCUCUGGAACGAACUUCCCCCCGGUUUACGCCAAUUGCCUGACCUUCGGACCUUUCGCCGGGAACUGAAAACUUAUUUAUUUAUUCAAGCGGGACUGGCCUGAUUUUUAAAUUCUAAAUUUUAAAUUUUUAAUUGUAAUUUUACUGGGUAUUUUAUAUGGUCAAUUGGACGGUUUUAAUUUCGGCCUUUUAUUGAAUAAGCUUUUUAAUUGUUAUUUUAAUAUGUAUAUUAAUUGUUUUAAAUGAAGGCUGUACACCGCCCUGAGUCCUUCGGGAGAAGGGCGGUAUAAAAGUUUAAUUAAUUAAUUAAUUAAAUAAAUAAAUAAAUAGUGUAAUACUGCUGUCUACUUCUUCUGACUGCUGGCUGCCUAAAAUUUGGCAAUUUGACUCUCACCAGGCUCAAGGUUGACUCAGCCUUCCUUCCUUCCAAGGUGGGUAAAAGGAGGACCCAGACUGUUGGGGGCAAUAGGCUGACUCUGUAAACUGCUUAGAGAGGAUUGUCAAGCACAAUGAAGCAGUAUAUAAGUCCGAAUGCUAUUGCUAUUUGUCUUUAAAUCACAAACAAAACCAUGUAGCGGUGUUUCUUAACUUUGGCAGUUUUAAGAUGGGUGGAGUUCAACUCCCAGAAUUUCCCAGCCAACAAGACACACAAUGAAUGAGCUUAAUUUGGAGAAAAAGUCGACAAACAGUGAAAGGAGGGGGGG
This is a long non-coding RNA of Ahaetulla prasina, 1514 nucleotides long. RefSeq lists it as uncharacterized. The transcript has 2 exons. The record is from RefSeq and is a predicted model, not a curated record. NCBI's taxonomy places the organism in Eukaryota, Metazoa, Chordata, Lepidosauria, Squamata, Colubridae.